UGGGGUGUAGCUCAGUUGGUAGGGUGUUUGUCUAGCAUGCACAAAGCCCUGGGUUCAGUAGCCAGCACCACAA
Molecule: transfer RNA, 73 nt
Organism: Neotoma lepida (desert woodrat)
Lineage: Eukaryota; Metazoa; Chordata; Mammalia; Rodentia; Cricetidae
Rfam family: tRNA
About the family: Transfer RNA (tRNA) molecules are approximately 80 nucleotides in length. Their secondary structure includes four short double-helical elements and three loops (D, anti-codon, and T loops).
Source: Rfam